Molecule: long non-coding RNA, 4743 nt
Organism: Balaenoptera ricei (Rice's whale)
Lineage: Eukaryota; Metazoa; Chordata; Mammalia; Artiodactyla; Balaenopteridae
Exons: 2
Source: RefSeq, a predicted model, not a curated record
GAUAGUUUAAGAUAGUAUAUGUUCAACUGUUAUGAAGUAUUUAUACAAACAAGACAUUAAUUUUAAAUAGCUUCAAAUAGAAAAUCCUUAACCUGGAACUAAGGGGUAUGGGGUACAAGAAGACAUGACCAAAAGAACCUGGGAUGUGAUUCAUGGAUUAAAAAAGAUUAGGGGGCUUCCCUGGUGGCGCAGUGGUUGAGAAUCUGCCUGCGAAUGCAGGGGACACGGGUUCGAGCCCUGGUCUGGGAAGAUCCCACAUGCCGCGGAGCAACUGGGCCCGUGAUCCACAACUGCUGAGCCUGCGCGUCUGGAGCCUGUGCCCCGCAACGGGAGGGACCGCGAUAGUGAGAGGCCCGCGCACCGCGAUGAAGAGUGGUCCCUGCACCACGAUGAAGAGUGGCCCCCGCUUGCCGCAACUAGAGAAAGCCCUCGCACGAAACAAAGACCCAACACAGCUAAAAUAAAUAAAUAAAUAAAUAAAUAAAUAAAUAAAUAAAUAAAUAAUGUAGCUAUUAAAAAAAAAUUAUAAAAAAAAAAAAAGAUUAGGAACACUGACAGGUGUUUAACAAGACUUUGGAGGUAGGGUAGGGUAGACACGUGCAACAAACACAUUCCAAAAAGUGGAACCAAACCAACAAGAGCAGAAAAGUUUAAGUUAAAGAAAUGUUAUUUGUCUAGACUGGUUGACAGUAUAUGUAAGGAGUGGAAGAAAGCCUAGAAAAGUUGGUUGGAACCAGAUUAUGGAAGGGUUUGAAUACUGAGGAGUUUAGAGUUGGCAAGCAUGUUUUGGGGAGUCAGAAAGUUUUGAGCAGGAAAUGAUGAUUGGCUUGAUUUAGCAGUGCUGUACAGGAAGGAUUUGGUAGUGAGGAGAUAGGCAGGCAGAGACUGCAGACCAGGGAAUCAGGAGGCUAAUACAGACAGUAAUCUAAAGUAAGGAGGGCCUGGAGACGAUUUCUUAAGUGCCUGUUAUGAGCUGGUGCUGGUGAUACAAUGAGGACUGGGUCCUUUUGAGGAGGAAGUUUUUAGUCUAGCGAGAUAUUGAUCUCUUAAAGGCUCCUAGAGGGGUCUCUAUGCAAAACUUUGGGACCACUUCUGAUCGUUUCCUGGUUACUAGGUUAAUUAGAUCGAUCCUCAUUUUAUAAUAGGAUGUAUUCUCUACCUUCUAAAAUUACUUUUCCGUUUUAUCAGUCUGCUAAGGCAAAAGUAUCCCAACCACUUGCACAUAAAGAAAAGCAAUUUAUUACAUAAAACAAGAUAAGACAGGAACAUGACACCAUACAAGGCAAAGAAGAAAAUGACACGUUUUAAAGAGAGAACAGAAGAUGAUGAGGAGAAUGAACUGGAGGUUAGAUUAGGGGCAAGAAAACCAGUUAAGAGGUUGUUGUAGUAAUCCACCUGCUUGAUUAUGAGGGUCUGAACUAAGUAUGAAAGAAGAGGAGUCCUUGGUGGCUACUUCCACCAUAAUCCUUUCUGUCACUGCCCUGGUACAACUCGGGGGUGGGUAAAGGACUCUCAGAAUUGAUCUUGAACAGAGGGACUCAAGAACACAAGAAACACUUGUUCACUUCUGCAGACUUAGAGGUAAGGCUCCUACUGUCAAGCAGUCUCUCUUCUUGUUCCUUUCUUAUUUGGAACAUGGUUUACCAGCCUUCACAUUGAUUCUGUGAACUCCCUGAUAAAUUCUUGUUUUGCUUUAGUUAGCCCAAGUUGGUUCCUAGGGCUUACAAUAAAAAACCUCUAAUUGACACUGUAUGUGAUUUUUGAGGCACCUGUGGAUAACCAGGUGGAGACUGUUAGAAAUAUGAAACUAGAAUAGUGGUUCUCAAAGUGAUGCAUGAGCAUUACCUGAGAACUUGUUAGAAAUGUAAGUUCUCAGGCCUCGCCCCAGACUAACUGAAUAUGAAACUUGAGGAGUGGGGCCCUAGCAAUCUGAAUAUCAGUAAGCCCUCUGGGUGAUUCUAAUGCACACUAUAGUUUGAGAACCAAUUGAACUAGAGCUUAGAAGGGAGAUUGGGGGGUGGAGAUAAAGAUGUGUGAGUCAAAUGAAUGACAGUUGCUGUUAGGGGGAAUGAAUAACCUCCCAGAAGAGUGGAAGAGAGAAGAUAAGCCCCUGAAGUAGAUGAAAUAAUCAAAGAAAUUGAGACUAGUGCUGUACAGUCAAGGAGGGGGAAAUUUAACAGAGGUGUCAGGUGAUCUACAGUGUCAGGUGCUAUACAGAGGCCAAGGUGGAUGAGAGAGCCAAGCGAUAGGACUGACCAUUAAGAGGUUUUUGGUGUCAAUUAAGAGAGAAUUGGUACAGAUAAUGAAAAUAAGUGGUGAGAGAACAAAGGCAAAAAAAAAAAACAAAGGAUACUUUUUUGCAGUAGGUUGGGAGUGCAAGAAAGAAAGUUGGGGCAGAUGUCUCAGUUUUUACUGCAUAAUAAACACUCAAACACAAUGGCUUAAGACAGUAAUUAUUAUUAUAGCUCAAGUGUCUGAAGGUUGGCUGAUCUCAGCUGGGCUUGCUCAUAUAUCUGAAAGCCUAAUGUGGGCUUUCCUCUAGGCUGGGUUCUGUUUCACAGAUCUGUCAUCCUCCUGGGACUCUUUGGCUUGCCCUGAGCAUGCCUUUCUCAUGGAGACGGAAGAAGAGUUUGGUUUUGGUUUUGGUUUUUUUUUCAUUGCAGCAUUUUUUUAAUUGAAGUUAGUUGGUGUACAAUAUUAUAUGUAAGUUACAUGUGAACAUUAUAGUGAUUCACAUUUUUUAAAGGCUAUACUCCAUUUAUAGUUAUUAUACAGUAUUGGCUAUUUUCCCUGUGUUGUACAGUAUAUUCUUGUAGCUUAUUUUAUACAUAAUAGUUUGUACCUCUUAAUCCCCAACCCCUAUAUUGUCCCUCCCCCUUCCCUCUCCCCACUGGUAACCACUAGUUUGUUCUCUGUAUCUGUCAGCCUGCUUUUUUUUUAAAACUAUGUUCACUAGUUUGUUGUAUUUUUUAGAUUCCACAUAUAAGAGAUAUACAGUAUCUGUCUUUCUCUGACGUUUCAUUUGGCAUAAUGCUAAAGUCCAUCCAUGUUGCUGCAAAUGGCAAAAUUUCAUUCUUUUUUAUGGCUGAGUAGUAUUCCAUUGGAUGUAUAUACCACAUCUUCUUUAUCCAUUCAUUUGUUGAUGGACACUUAGGUUGCUCCCAUAUCUUGGCAAUUGUAAAUAAUGCUGCUGUGAACAUUGGGGUACAUGUAUCUUUUCGAAUUAGUGUUUUUGUUUUUUUCAGAUGUUUUUGUUUUUUUCUUAUCUGGAAGAAGAGCUUUAAGAGGGCAAGCAGAAACGUACAAGGCUUCUUGAGGCCUAGACUCCAAACUGGCACACUGGCACUUCUGCCUCAUAUUGGACAGAGCAGGUUGUGUGACCAAGCCCAGAUUCAAGGGGGCGGGAGAUAGAAUUCACCUUUUAGAGAAACUGCAAAGUGACAUGGCAAAGGGCAUGAGUUCACACAGGGGUGGAGAAUUGGGACCAUUAAUACCAUGGUAGGAAUGACCAGAGCAUGCUUGAAAGUAGAAAGGAAGGGAUAUGUAGGAUAAAGAAGAAAGUGAAGUAAGGAGGAAAGAUCAAUACCAUAGGUCAGAGAAUUAACCUUUGAAAAAAGGAAGGGUACUUCUGGGAAUGGAAAGAGGGGAAUUCGGUUGAAUUAGAUUUAACAAAUUAAAAUACAGGAUGCCCAGUAAAAUUUUAACUUCAGGUAAACAAUGAAUAACUUCUGAGUAUUAAGUAUGUUCUAUGCAAUAUUUGGUAGGCUCUCGGUACACAGUUUGCUAUUUUUAUCAGUUUAAAUACCAUUUAAAUAUUUCUAUAAUGCAGUACUUGGGACACAUUUAUCCUAAAGUAUGUUUCCUUAUUUAUUUGAAAUUCAAAUAUCACCAGGCAACCUGUAUUUUGACAACCCUACUUUGGAUGCAUUUUAAACAGAGCCAUGGUAAGGUCAUCUACAAAGGGCUACACGGGUGCGUUUGGGGACUUAAUCCUGGGAGACGUUUGGAACAGCCGCCGUGGGUGCUGUGCAGUGUCAGCGGAAGGACUGCCGAUCGGUAGUGAGGCCCACUUACCAACAGGCAGCAUGACUUUUUCUUGGGUCAGCAGUAAUGCUUGACUGCUGGUAGGCAGUGGUAGGAACAGAGGCAGCCAGUGCAGGCCACCACCUUGGUCUGACUGCGUAGGAGACGCCUGGGGAGGAGUUUGGGGCAUAGUUGAAAUGACUAGGGGCCCAGACGGUACACGGAAGCAGGUGAAACCAGAAGGUGAAUUGGGAGGCAGAAGAUGAACAAUUAUUCGUUUUCAUUGGAAGAGGUGGAAGUUCACAGAGAAGAAACAGAAUUUACAGUCUUGGAAGAAUAGUUCUGUGAUAGUGGGGUUAAAAAUCCAAUUUCAUGAGACAGAACUGGAGCUAAAUUUAAAGCAAGAGCCCUGGAGACAAGGUGAACAUGCUUUGGGAUUUUCAUAGUUUGAGUGAUUCCUCUGGGCUCUACCACCCAGCAAGUUAAAGAGGACAAGAUUCCUUCCUGGGGAUUGUGGUUCUGGGAACGUGAGCAGCUUGUUUUCAUGAGAGCUGCACCCUGACGGGGCCUACUGUUAGGAGCUGUUGUGUGGGUGGCUGUGUUGUUUUUAGUUGUUUCUUCCAUCCUACACUGUUGUUUGUAUAUAAAGAUUUUUGAAAAGUGAAUGUUUUACGGGGCUGUUUUGCUUAUACAAAGAAAAUUAAAACAAUUUCAAAGUAA